This 398-nucleotide ribosomal RNA is filed under the name uncultured Actinomycetes bacterium. RNAcentral's name for it is "bacterial SSU rRNA". It matches the Rfam family "Bacterial small subunit ribosomal RNA", at positions 9 to 416 of the family's 1533-position model. The record is from RNAcentral. Lineage: Bacteria; Bacillati; Actinomycetota; Actinomycetes.
GAGUUUGAUCGUGGCUCAGGACGAACGCUGGCGGCGUGCUUAACACAUGCAAGUGGAGUGACGAACCGGGCUUGCCCGGGGCAGAGCCGCGAACGGGUGAGUAACACGUGGGUUACCUGCCGUGAUGACUGGGACAACCCGUCGAAAGACGGGCUAAUACCGGAUGUGCCCGCAAGGGGAAAGGAGGCUUCGGCUUCCGCAUCGCGAUGGGCCCGCGGAGCAUUAGCUUGUUGGUGAGGUAACGGCUCACCAAGGCUUCGAUGCUUAGCUGGUCUGAGAGGACGAUCAGCCACACUGGGACUGAGACACGGCCCAGACUCCUACGGGAGGCAGCAGUGGGGAAUCUUGCGCAAUGCGCGAAAGCGUGACGCAGCAACGCCGCGUGCGGGAAGACGGCC